RNAcentral lists this transfer RNA (73 nucleotides) under Trichonephila clavata. It matches the Rfam family "tRNA". Rfam says of the family: Transfer RNA (tRNA) molecules are approximately 80 nucleotides in length. Their secondary structure includes four short double-helical elements and three loops (D, anti-codon, and T loops). Lineage: Eukaryota; Metazoa; Arthropoda; Arachnida; Araneae; Nephilidae. The record is from Rfam by way of RNAcentral.
GUCCCUGUAGCGCAAUGGACAGCGCGUUCGACUUCUAAUCCAAAGAUCUAGGGUUCAAAUCCCACCUGGGACG